This 278-nucleotide unclassified non-coding RNA is filed under the name plant metagenome. Its description in RNAcentral is "partial contains small subunit ribosomal RNA, internal transcribed spacer 1, and 5.8S ribosomal RNA". The stretch from base 1 to 54 matches the Rfam family "Eukaryotic small subunit ribosomal RNA", at positions 1778 to 1831 of the family's 1831-position model. The record is from RNAcentral.
GGAAGUAAAAGUCGUAGCAAGGUUUCCGUAGGUGAACCUGCGGAAGGAUCAUCAUUGAACCUCUAAAUAUCAACAAACACCUGUGUGAACAGUUCGGGGGCUGGGAGGAGGAUUAGAAAUGAUCCUCAGCCCGCCUUCAUUUUUUUCCUCAUUUUUUGAGGAAGAAAACGAAAACCCCACAAAAACUCUUGAUCUUUUGACAGAAAUCCAAAUGUUAUCGCAAGAUAACGCUUGAAAAAAUUAAAAGACAACUUUUAACAACGGAUCUCUUGGCUCUC